Molecule: ribosomal RNA, 253 nt
Filed under: uncultured bacterium
Lineage: Bacteria
Description: partial 16S ribosomal RNA
Rfam family: Bacterial small subunit ribosomal RNA
Source: RNAcentral
UACGUAGGGGGCAAGCGUUGUCCGGAAUCAUUGGGCGUAAAGAGCGUGUAGGCGGCCCGGUAAGUCCGCCGUGAAAGUCCAGGGCUCAACCCUGGGAUGCCGGUGGAAACUGUCGGGCUCGAGUCCGGAAGAGGCGAGUGGAAUUCCUGGUGUAGCGGUGAAAUGCGCAGAUAUCAGGAGGAACACCGGUGGCGAAGGCGGGUCUCUGGGCCGUAACUGACGCUGAGGAGCGAAAGCGUGGGGAGCGAACAGG